UGACAUUUUGUUUGUAGGCGCUCAAAAGUACGAAACUAUAUUUGUGUUUUUGCGGUUUCCCUUUGUAUUUGUGCACUGCACACAUCAACACACCAACACACACACACAUACACUGGAACACUGACAGACUGCCAUUGAGUAGAGUCAAAUGCAUGUGCAGAACAUUCCACAUCAUGUCAAGCGGAAAGGAGCUCCCUCUCCAGAUUCGUUUUAUGAAGGUUUAACAACUUUUUGAUACAAAUUUGGCUGCCUUUCUUUUCGCCUGCAUGCCUGUGCCAGCCUGCAUCUGCGAGUUUUCGUUGAUUUUUGUAGUCCAAGGACACUGCAUUGUGGGCGUACAUUUUUUGGCAGAUGUGAGAGUUUGAGGGGCUGUAAAACCUCGCAUUUUAUUGGUAAAGACAUUGAAAUUUGUGAUCAGUCAAAUAGACAGUGCCCGAACGAAACCUAGCUGCUAGAUUCAUGAUUGUUUGACACUCUGGAAUAUUUAGUGCGACACUCGACUUGUAAAACAUCAAACCGAAAAACAUGAUUAAAAGAAUUCCAAAUUCUACGUUUGUGUAGUAUUGUUGGCUUUCGUCAGACAUACAUACAUAGGUUAAGAAUAAAGUGUAUUUUUAAUAUCUAACGUACGAGUAAGCAGAUUAUACACGAUAUUCAAGACAGGAAAAUAUAAUUAAUGUGGAUCUAUUCAACCUGUCAGCGCCCUUUACUAUAGAGCAGGUUGGGAAAUCAAUUCAGACUUAAAUCAAAACAAUAUUUAGAUCAUCUCGCAUCUAUGUAACAAAGUAUGUUUUGAUACGAAGAGUUUUAGCACAACUGAUUGAAAGUGCCACGAAGAAAAGAAGAGAUGUGUGUAUAUCUGCUUAUGGAAAAUAAUCUCAGCCUACAAUAGUGGGCGAAGAAGGAAUUGUCAUAGUCUCAAACCUUGGACAACGUACACAUCAUGCAACUAGUCAUAGUGUCCGUUUAAAUAUAACGCGCCAUUUGAAGCCGAAGUUGUUAAUCAACCCGGCUUCUAUACUAUUUUAAGCUAUGUAUAAGAUCUUUUUCGUUCGUGAUUAGACAAUUGAACCAGAUAAGCGCUGUGCACUGAACGUGAAAUGAUAAAACGAUUUUAAAAUCUUCUGCAUGGCAUAUUGAAUUAGUCAGAUUGUUCAAAACCGCAUUGGAUACAAUGCAUUCCGAUGACCAGAGCAGACAAAAGACCCGAUCCAUGGAGGCCAUGGAAGACAAUUCCAUUCUCCAACUAUCAAUGAAAUCCCAGUAGUAUUUGUUGACGAGAAUGUGAAAUCUCGCGAUAUUGUUCUCAGGUGCCUCGAGAUGGUGGACAAUUGAAACGCGUGUACGAGAUUCUUCGGUUGUAUCGUGUUGUGGAGAGGAUGGAUAUCACUUCAAUAUAAAGAUGGUCAAUCCAACGGCAGCUCUGGAGUUGUUGCUCUGAAUUGCUGCGAAAGAAUUAAAAGAUUGCCUUAAGCAAAUCUA
This 1482-nucleotide small RNA is filed under the name Drosophila pseudoobscura pseudoobscura. RNAcentral's name for it is "GA30798". The record is from RNAcentral. Lineage: Eukaryota; Metazoa; Arthropoda; Insecta; Diptera; Drosophilidae.